Salmo salar (Atlantic salmon) is the source of this 54-nucleotide non-coding RNA. NCBI's taxonomy places the organism in Eukaryota, Metazoa, Chordata, Actinopteri, Salmoniformes, Salmonidae. The record is from Rfam.
CUGGAAAUGUACUGUAAGUCGCUCUGGAUAAGAGCCUCUGCUAAAUGACUCAAA